CUGAUCGACGAACUGGCUUCCCUGGAGGACCUGUUCACUGUAUGAGUCCCUGCUACGUGACCUGCCUGGUAACUCGCGAUAACUAUUGGAAACGACAGCUCAUUCCUCAUACUAUCAGUUGAUGCCUGACAACUGUCUGAUAGGUGCAAUUGCUUCACUACCAUAUGGACCAGCGUUGUACCAGCUAGGAGGUGGAGUCACCUCUCACCGAGGCUACAAUCCAUCGCCGACCGGAGAGGGUGAUCCUACCCAGUGGAACUGACACUCCGUCCACACUCCUACUGAUACGCUCUUUUGGGAACCAUCUGCCAUGGACCGAUAUCUCGACAACACCUACGCGCGAGCCCCCGAAUAAGAGCUUCACAUCGAAAGCCUCUGAUCGAGGAGAAAAACGAAUGUAAGAGUGCAAAGUGCGCGCUGGCUCGGGCUCUUACCAGAGUAGCACGGAUACUUACGUGCCAGCAGCCGCGGUAAUACGUAGGUCCCGAGCGUGUCCCGGAUUUAUUGGGCGUAAAGCGAGCGCAGGCGGUUAGAUAAGUCUGAAGUUAAGGCUGUGGCUUAACCAUAGUACGCUUUGGAAACUGUUUAACUUGAGUGCAAGAGGGGAGAGUGGAAUUCCAUGUGUAGCGGUGAAAUGCGUAGAUAUAUGGAGGAACACCGGUGGCGAAAGCGGCUCUCUGGCUUGUAACUGACGCUGAGGCUCGAAAGCGUGGGGAGCAAACAGGAUUAGAUACCCUGGUAGUCCACGCCGUAAACGAUGAGUGCUAGGUGUUAGACCCUUUCCGGGGUUUAGUGCCGUAGCUAACGCAUUAAGCACUCCGCCUGGGGAGUACGACCGCAAGGUUGAAACUCAAAGGAAUUGACGGGGGCCCGCACAAGCGGUGGAGCAUGUGGUUUAAUUCGAAGCAACGCGAAGAACCUUACCAGGUCUUGACAUCCCUCUGACCGCUCUAGAGAUAGAGCUUUCCUUCGGGACAGAGGUGACAGGUGGUGCAUGGUUGUCGUCAGCUCGUGUCGUGAGAUGUUGGGUUAAGUCCCGCAACGAGCGCAACCCCUAUUGUUAGUUGCCAUCAUUCAGUUGGGCACUCUAGCGAGACUGCCGGUAAUAAACCGGAGGAAGGUGGGGAUGACGUCAAAUCAUCAUGCCCCUUAUGACCUGGGCUGCACACGUGCUACAAUGGCUGGUACAACGAGUCGCAAGCCGGUGACGGCAAGCUAAUCUCUUAAAGCCAGUCUCAGUUCGGAUUGUAGGCUGCAACUCGCCUACAUGAAGUCGGAAUCGCUAGUAAUCGCGGAUCAGCACGCCGCGGUGAAUACGUUCCCGGGCCU
Molecule: ribosomal RNA, 1329 nt
Filed under: uncultured bacterium
Lineage: Bacteria
Description: partial 16S ribosomal RNA
Rfam family: Bacterial small subunit ribosomal RNA
Source: RNAcentral